Molecule: long non-coding RNA, 757 nt
Organism: Vigna radiata var. radiata (mung bean)
Lineage: Eukaryota; Viridiplantae; Streptophyta; Magnoliopsida; Fabales; Fabaceae
Exons: 3
Source: RefSeq, a predicted model, not a curated record
AAGCAAGACGAGCAAAAGAAAAAAAAAAACAGUUAUUCUUGUUUUCUUGGUAUCAAUCCUUAUUGAAAACUGCACAAGAAGUGCUAGCAAUUGCAAAUAACACGGCACGCGUGCACCUAAAAAGCAGACAGGUUUUUCAGUUGGGUGAUUCUAAAGAAGCAAGCCAAAAAAAUGAAUUAGGUGUUUGAAAUACCAGGAAGAUCCACCAGAAGGUAAUGGCCCGCAGAGUCCUGUGUCCAUCCAGAAUUAGGUACUAUCUGUUGUAGAACUGGAGUUCCUGCCGACGUUCUUCCUCCAACCAUUCUAUCACCCCUACCACUGGCCAUUCAGAAAGAAUGUUAUAUUUUGCAUGCAACCUGCGAAUGGUUAUGUUAUUUGGUUCGAGUAAUUCCUACUCAGGAGAUCAAGUCAUGAAAGCAACUCUGGUUUUCCAUUGUUUCAAACCAGGCUUGGUUCGGAGGAUGCCAACGGUGCAGAGGGUUUUCUUUCAUAUGGUCAACAAUGACUACAAGACAAUGGUUUAUGUAUGAAGUUAAUCUUGACUUUAUCCAUCAGUGUCUCGUAGAUUGGCAAAACAUGAAGCUUUUAGCUAUUUCGAGUAUUAUGGACUGUUGUAAGUGAUGAAAUCAUAACAAUGUUGUGCCUCAAUUUAGGCAACAGUGGGAUUUAGAACCUUAGUUUAUAGAGGAUAUCGUAUCUGAGAUCAGAGGGUAACUAUAUGGUAUAAAUCGAACCUUUCUUUACCAUCGUAUCUGUA